UUUUUACUCCCUCUGUCCAGAAAUACUUGUCGGGGGAAUAAAUGUAUCUAGAUGUAUUUUAGUAUUAGAUACAUCCGUUUUUAGUCAUUUCUAUGACAAGUAUUUCCGGACGGAGGGAGUAUAUC
Molecule: non-coding RNA, 125 nt
Organism: Triticum aestivum (bread wheat)
Lineage: Eukaryota; Viridiplantae; Streptophyta; Magnoliopsida; Poales; Poaceae
Source: Rfam